GGAUCAUGCAGAGUUGCAGAGGUUGAAACAGGUAGGUAUAUUCCAAAAUAAUAUAAUGCAGGUUGCUUACGAGAUCAUGCAGUGAUUUAGCAAUUGAAGCAGUUAAGAUUCUUCAAUGAAGGCAAUACGCCACAAAUCAGGAUUCUUGGAAGCUGAUAAGGAAAGUCUUUCGGUAAGAUGUAAUUCAGGCAAGUUCAGGAUGAAGUAAUGCAGGUUAGUGCCUUUCAGUAUGAGGAAAUGUAGAUGAGUACAGAAUGAGG
Non-coding RNA from Pelobates cultripes (western spadefoot toad), 260 nucleotides. The record is from the annotation of a GenBank genome assembly. NCBI's taxonomy places the organism in Eukaryota, Metazoa, Chordata, Amphibia, Anura, Pelobatidae.